RNAcentral lists this ribosomal RNA (265 nucleotides) under uncultured bacterium. Its description in RNAcentral is "partial 16S ribosomal RNA". It matches the Rfam family "Bacterial small subunit ribosomal RNA", at positions 524 to 788 of the family's 1533-position model. The record is from RNAcentral.
UACGUAGGGUGCGAGCGUUGUCCGGAAUUAUUGGGCGUAAAGAGCUUGUAGGCGGUUUGUCGCGUCUGCCGUGAAAAUUCGAGGCUCAACCUCGAACUUGCGGUGGGUACGGGCAGACUAGAGUGUGGUAGGGGAGACUGGAAUUCCUGGUGGUAGCGGUGAAAUGCGCAGAUAUCAGGAGGAACACCGAUGGCGAAGGCAGGUCUCUGGGCCGAUACUGACGCUGAGGAGCGAAAGCGUGGGGAGCGAACAGGAUAGAAACCCU